This 497-nucleotide ribosomal RNA is filed under the name uncultured bacterium. RNAcentral describes it as "partial 16S ribosomal RNA". It matches the Rfam family "Bacterial small subunit ribosomal RNA", at positions 28 to 507 of the family's 1533-position model. The record is from RNAcentral.
GAUGAACGCUGGCGGCGUGCCUAAUACAUGAAAGUCGAGCGAACGGACGAGAAGCUUGCUUCUCUGAUGUUAGCGGCGGACGGGUGAGUAACACGUGGAUAACCUACCUAUAAGACUGGGAUAACUUCGGGAAACCGGAGCUAAUACCGGAUAAUAUUUUGAACCGCAUGGUUCAAAAGUGAAAGACGGUCUUGCUGUCACUUAUAGAUGGAUCCGCGCUGCAUUAGCUAGUUGGUAAGGUAACGGCUUACCAAGGCAACGAUGCAUAGCCGACCUGAGAGGGUGAUCGGCCACACUGGAACUGAGACACGGUCCAGACUCCUACGGGAGGCAGCAGUAGGGAAUCUUCCGCAAUGGGCGAAAGCCUGACGGAGCAACGCCGCGUGAGUGAUGAAGGUCUUCGGAUCGUAAAACUCUGUUAUUAGGGAAGAACAUAUGUGUAAGUAACUGUGCACAUCUUGACGGUACCUAAUCAGAAAGCCACGGCUAACUACGUG